Molecule: ribosomal RNA, 253 nt
Filed under: uncultured bacterium
Lineage: Bacteria
Description: partial 16S ribosomal RNA
Rfam family: Bacterial small subunit ribosomal RNA
Source: RNAcentral
UACAUAGGGUGCAAGCGUUGUCCGGAAUUAUUGGGCGUAAAGCGUAUGUAGGUGGUUAAAUAAGUCAGACGUGUAAGCCCUCGGCUCAACCGAGGAAUUGCGUUUGAAACUGUUUAACUUGAGUACAGGAGAGGAAAGCGGAAUUCCCAGUGUAGCGGUGAAAUGCAUUGAUAUUGGGAAGAACAUCGGUGGCGAAGGCGGCUUUCUGGCCUGUUACUGACACUGAGAUACGAAAGCCAGGGGAGCGAACGGG